Molecule: non-coding RNA, 172 nt
Filed under: Candidatus Parcubacteria bacterium
Lineage: Bacteria; Candidatus Parcubacteria
Source: RNAcentral
UACCUUAAAUAUAAGCAUACUUUCAGGGAAGUGAGGUGACCUCCCCGCUUGGGCGGGGAGCAUUCCUCCGCAGUCCCGCUACGGUAAUUUCGCCACUGGUGAAUAAGCCCGAAUACUGAAGUAUUGUUUUACCAAGCUACGGCUCUUCGAGAGAAGGAGCGCGGUGGCCGGA